CCUACGGGUGGCAGCAGUGAGGAAUAUUGGUCAAUGGGCGCGAGCCUGAACCAGCCAAGUCGCGUGAGGGAUGACUGCCCUACGGGUUGUAAACCUCUUUUAUAAAGGAAGAAAGUGAGGGACGUGUGCCUUGAUGAAUGUACCUUAUGAAUAAGCAUCGGCUAACUCCGUGCCAGCAGCCGCGGUAAUACGGAGGAUUCGAGCGUUAUCCGGAUUUAUUGGGUUUAAAGGGAGCGUAGACGGGUUGUUAAGUCAGUGGUUAAAGUUUGGGGCUUAACCCCCAGAUUGCCAUUGAUACUGGCAGCCUUGAGUACAGUUGAGGUAGGCGGAAUUCGUGGUGUAGCGGUGAAAUGCUUAGAUAUCGCGAAGAACUCCGAUUGCGAAGGCAGCUUACCAGACUGACACUGACGCUGAUGCACGAAAGUGUGGGUAUCGAACAGGAUUAGAUACCCUUGUAGUC
Molecule: ribosomal RNA, 460 nt
Filed under: uncultured bacterium
Lineage: Bacteria
Description: partial 16S ribosomal RNA
Rfam family: Bacterial small subunit ribosomal RNA
Source: RNAcentral